GGGCACGUGGUGUAGUGGCCUAACAUGCAGCCCUGUCAAGGCUGAGAACGGGAGUUCGAAUCUCCUCGUGCCCGCCA
Molecule: transfer RNA, 77 nt
Filed under: Chloroflexota bacterium
Lineage: Bacteria; Bacillati; Chloroflexota
Description: tRNA-Asp
Rfam family: tRNA
About the family: Transfer RNA (tRNA) molecules are approximately 80 nucleotides in length. Their secondary structure includes four short double-helical elements and three loops (D, anti-codon, and T loops). Further hydrogen bonds mediate the characteristic L-shaped molecular structure. tRNAs have two regions of fundamental functional importance: the anti-codon, which is responsible for specific mRNA codon recognition, and the 3' end, to which the tRNAs corresponding amino acid is attached (by aminoacyl-tRNA synthetases). tRNAs cope with the degeneracy of the genetic code in two manners: having more than one tRNA (with a specific anti-codon) for a particular amino acid; and 'wobble' base-pairing, i.e. permitting non-standard base-pairing at the 3rd anti-codon position.
Source: RNAcentral